UCAGUCCAUAGCCAGUGAGCUGGUCAACCAAUUCAUAGCUGGCAUAUUUUUAGUAUUUAACUUCAAGGCUACUCGAAACAAUCAAGGAGGAAGGGUGUCAUUCUUUGAGCAUUCUUUCCAAAACCUCACCUCGUCUCUGCUCCUUUGCUCCAAUUAAUGCAGAAUAUAAUGACGUCAUACCCUGAUGGCAAUCUCUUCUUUCAUGCCUGGAGUUGGGCUGUGCCUGUUGCUACUGAGAAGGAUGCUGAAGCUAGCGGCAUGGAAGUGAGGCUGGAAGGGUCUGGUAGAGGCUGAUGGUGCGAUGCAAGGAGCACAUCUCGGGGGUGUUUCCCAUCACCCAUGCUCCAUCCGCCAAGGGCACAAGUUCCUGAUCCUACACAGGGAAUCUGGCCAUUUUAGGCAGCUCCCUCUGAAGUUUGAGAGCCACUACAUUUUGGACAUUGUAGGAAAGACCACCAGUGUUCAUAAAAUUUCCAUCCACUUGUCAAGU
Molecule: non-coding RNA, 490 nt
Organism: Vicugna pacos (alpaca)
Lineage: Eukaryota; Metazoa; Chordata; Mammalia; Artiodactyla; Camelidae
Source: RefSeq, a predicted model, not a curated record